AGAACGAACGCUGGCGGCAUGCCUAACACAUGCAAGUCGAACGCUCUUGGGGCUUCGGUUCCAAGGGAGUGGCGCACGGGUGAGUAGCGCGUGGGAACCUGCCCUGUUGUGGGGGAUAACCGAGGGAAACUUCGGCUAAUACCGCAUAAGCCGGUUGUCUUGAAAGAGAUGGCCGGGAAAGAUUUAUCGCGACAGGAGGGGCCCGCGUCGGAUUAGCUAGUUGGUGGGGUAACGGCCCACCAAGGCAGUGAUCCGUAGCUGGUCUGAGAGGAUGAUCAGCCACACUGGGACUGAGACACGGCCCAGACUCCUACGGGAGGCAGCAGUGGGGAAUAUUGGACAAUGGGCGCAAGCCUGAUCCAGCAAUGCCGCGUGAGUGAUGAAGGCCUUAGGGUUGUAAAGCUCUUUUGUGCGGGAAGAUAAUGACGGUACCGCAAGAAUAAGCCCCGGCUAACUUCGUGCCAGCAGCCGC
Molecule: ribosomal RNA, 472 nt
Filed under: uncultured bacterium
Lineage: Bacteria
Description: SSU rRNA
Rfam family: Bacterial small subunit ribosomal RNA
Source: RNAcentral